UACAGAGGUCUCAAGCGUUGUUCGGAUUCAUUGGGCGUAAAGGGUGCGUAGGCGGCGCGGUAAGUCGGGUGUGAAAUCUCGGAGCUUAACUCCGAAACUGCAUUCGAUACUGCCGUGCUUGAGGACUGGAGAGGAGACUGGAAUUUACGGUGUAGCGGUGAAAUGCGUAGAUAUCGUAAGGAAGACCAGUGGCGAAGGCGGGGUCUCUGGGCCACUACUGACGCUGAGAAGCGAAAGCAUGGGGAGCGAACAGG
This 254-nucleotide ribosomal RNA is filed under the name uncultured bacterium. Its description in RNAcentral is "partial 16S ribosomal RNA". It matches the Rfam family "Bacterial small subunit ribosomal RNA", at positions 524 to 776 of the family's 1533-position model. The record is from RNAcentral.